GACGAACGCUGGCGGUGUGCUUAACACAUGCAAGUCGAACGGUAAGGCCCUUUCGGGGGUACACGAGUGGCGAACGGGUGAGUAACACGUGAGUAACCUGCCCUCAUCUCUGGGAUAACAGUCGGAAACGGUUGCUAAUACUGGAUAUGAGCUUGCAAGGCAUCUUGUGGGUUGGAAAGAUUUUUUUUGGUUGGGGAUGGACUCGCGGCCUAUCAGCUUGUUGGUGAGGUAGUGGCUCACCAAGGCUUCGACGGGUAGCCGGCCUGAGAGGGCGACCGGCCACAUUGGGACUGAGAUACGGCCCAAACUCCUACGAGAGGCAGCAGUGGGGAAUAUUGCACAAUGGACGGAAGUCUGAUGCAGCAACGCCGCGUGCGGGAUGACGGCCUUCGGGUUGUAAACCGCUUUCAAUUGUGACGAAGCUUUUUUGUGACGGUAGCAGUAGAAGAAGCACCGGCUAACUACGUG
This 468-nucleotide ribosomal RNA is filed under the name uncultured bacterium. RNAcentral describes it as "partial 16S ribosomal RNA". It matches the Rfam family "Bacterial small subunit ribosomal RNA", at positions 28 to 507 of the family's 1533-position model. The record is from RNAcentral.